GGGGGUGUAGCUCAGUGGUAGAGCAUUUGCUUUGCUUACAAUAUGUGCCAGGUUCAAUCCCCAACAUCUCCU
Podarcis lilfordi (Lilford's wall lizard) is the source of this 72-nucleotide non-coding RNA. The record is from the annotation of a GenBank genome assembly. Lineage: Eukaryota; Metazoa; Chordata; Lepidosauria; Squamata; Lacertidae.